GGGGUUAUAGUGUAGUGGUAUCACGGUUCCCUCCAGAGGAACAGAUCGGGGUUCGAUUCCCCGUAACCCCA
RNAcentral lists this transfer RNA (71 nucleotides) under Candidatus Iainarchaeum sp. RNAcentral's name for it is "tRNA-Trp". It matches the Rfam family "tRNA". Rfam says of the family: Transfer RNA (tRNA) molecules are approximately 80 nucleotides in length. Their secondary structure includes four short double-helical elements and three loops (D, anti-codon, and T loops). Further hydrogen bonds mediate the characteristic L-shaped molecular structure. tRNAs have two regions of fundamental functional importance: the anti-codon, which is responsible for specific mRNA codon recognition, and the 3' end, to which the tRNAs corresponding amino acid is attached (by aminoacyl-tRNA synthetases). tRNAs cope with the degeneracy of the genetic code in two manners: having more than one tRNA (with a specific anti-codon) for a particular amino acid; and 'wobble' base-pairing, i.e. permitting non-standard base-pairing at the 3rd anti-codon position. The record is from RNAcentral. Lineage: Archaea; Nanobdellati; Candidatus Iainarchaeota; Candidatus Iainarchaeia; Candidatus Iainarchaeales; Candidatus Iainarchaeaceae.